Molecule: ribosomal RNA, 253 nt
Filed under: uncultured bacterium
Lineage: Bacteria
Description: partial 16S ribosomal RNA
Rfam family: Bacterial small subunit ribosomal RNA
Source: RNAcentral
UACGUAGGGUGCGAGCGUUAAUCGGAAUUACUGGGCGUAAAGGGCGCGUAGGCGGCCUGCUAAGUCGGAUGUGAAAUCCCUCGGCUCAACCGAGGAACUGCAUCCGAUACUGGCGGGCUUGAGUCCGGGAGAGGGAUGUGGAAUUCCAGGUGUAGCGGUGAAAUGCGUAGAUAUCUGGAGGAACACCGGUGGCGAAGGCGGCAUCCUGGACCGGUAUUGACGCUGAGGCGCGAAAGCUAGGGGAGCAAACGGG